This 304-nucleotide ribosomal RNA is filed under the name Stellantchasmus falcatus. RNAcentral's name for it is "partial large subunit ribosomal RNA". The stretch from base 37 to 304 matches the Rfam family "Bacterial large subunit ribosomal RNA", at positions 2049 to 2605 of the family's 2925-position model. Lineage: Eukaryota; Metazoa; Platyhelminthes; Trematoda; Opisthorchiida; Heterophyidae. The record is from RNAcentral.
UUAGUAGAAGAUGAGGGGUGUGGUUGAAAUUGAUUGGUCGGUGCAGAAUCCGACGUUGGUUAAUAAGACGGAAAGACCCCGAGAGCUUGGAGUUCUUUGUUUAUCUGGGGUGGAGGCGAGUGUUUCAUACGUUAUUUGAUCCUGGUGGAAAGAAGGUUGAAGUUACCUCGGGGAUAACUAGGUAAGAAGUAAGGAGAGUUCGCAUUGAUUUACUUGUUUGCCAUCUCGAUGUUGACUUGGGGGAAUCAGGCGGGUGCAGAGGCUUGUCUGGAUGGUCUGUUCGACCUUAGAUCCUCUCAUGAGC